UACGGAGGGUGCAAGCGUUAUCCGGAUUCACUGGGUUUAAAGGGUGCGUAGGCGGGCAGGUAAGUCAGUGGUGAAAUCUCCGAGCUUAACUCGGAAACUGCCUUUGAUACUAUCUGUCUUGAAUAUGGUGGAGGUAAGCGGGAUAUGUCAUGUAGCGGUGAAAUGCUUAGAUAUGACAUAGAACACCUAUUGCGAAGGCAGCUUACUACGCCUAUAUUGACGCUGAGGCACGAAAGCGUGGGGAUCAAACAGG
RNAcentral lists this ribosomal RNA (253 nucleotides) under uncultured bacterium. RNAcentral's name for it is "partial 16S ribosomal RNA". It matches the Rfam family "Bacterial small subunit ribosomal RNA", at positions 524 to 776 of the family's 1533-position model. The record is from RNAcentral.